Molecule: ribosomal RNA, 496 nt
Filed under: uncultured bacterium
Lineage: Bacteria
Description: partial 16S ribosomal RNA
Rfam family: Bacterial small subunit ribosomal RNA
Source: RNAcentral
GAUGAACGCUGGCGGCGUGCCUAAUACAUGCAAGUCGAGCGAACGGACGAGAAGCUUGCUUCUCUGAUGUUAGCGGCGGACGGGUGAGUAACACGUGGAUAACCUACCUAUAAGACUGGGAUAACUUCGGGAAACCGGAGCUAAUACCGGAUGAUAUUUUGAACCGCAUGGUUCAAAAGUGAAAGACGGUCUUGCUGUCACUUAUAGAUGGAUCCGCGCUGCAUUAGCUAGUUGGUAAGGUAACGGCUUACCAAGGGAACGAUGCAUAGCCGACCUGAGAGGGUGAUAGGCCACAAUGGAACUGAGAAACGGUACCGACCACUACGGGAGGCAGCAGUAGGGAAUCUUCCGCAAUGGGCGAAGGCCUGACGGAGCAACGCCGCGUGAGUGAUGAAGGUCUUCGGAUCGUAAAACGCUGUUAUUAGGGAAGAACACAUGUGUAAGUAACUGUGCACAUCUUGACGGUACCGAUACAGAAAGCCACGGCUAACUACGU